GGCUAAGGUUCAAGAACUGGUUUCUCAGGGGUCAGCCUGAGAAGGAAACGGGGAAAGAACGGUGAAAUUCCGUCGCUGUCCCGCAGCUGUAAAGCCCUUGCUUGCUCUAGCAAGGGUCAGUCAGAACGCCCGCCAGUCUUUAAACCGACGA
Molecule: non-coding RNA, 151 nt
Filed under: bacterium TMED181
Lineage: Bacteria
Source: RNAcentral